Molecule: long non-coding RNA, 577 nt
Organism: Homarus americanus (American lobster)
Lineage: Eukaryota; Metazoa; Arthropoda; Malacostraca; Decapoda; Nephropidae
Exons: 3
Source: RefSeq, a predicted model, not a curated record
AAGUUGGCUUUUAAACACUGCCUGGGUGGAGGGGUGGGGUGAUAGUGUCGAGGGUUGCCCGUUUGCCGCGCCGCGAAGGACCCUGUCACCACCCAGUAGCAGCAGCGUUGUGAUCCAGUGUACCGGAGGAUCAUUAUCCGGACCCGUUAACGUAGCGGAGCCUUAUCUUAGGGAAAAUAAAAUGCUUCUACGGGAUUACAAUGACUUGUGUUACUUCAAUUAGACCAUAGCAUUUGAAAAGGUAUAAAUUAUGUUUUUUGGUACAAUGUGCUGCCAUGGCCAUUUUGUAUCCAUAAUGAACGAUAAGGAAUAAGUGACUAGGUGGUGCGCGGAUUAAGGACAUGCAACCAUGAAUAUGUACAAAGAAAGAGUCAGGGGACAGAAUGUUUUGAACAAAUUGCAAAGUCCCUCCAAGAAGGUGGUUGGCAAGCCAGCGCCCUUGAAGUCCAAGGCGGCGUCGCUGUUUAAGCUGGUCACCGUGGAGUUCUGUGACUACACGGGGUCUUUCACCGUGGUGGGGCCCGACCAGGCUAGCCGAGCUGAAUACGUCAGGACACAGCUCAAACAGAUGAGGGUA